This 53-nucleotide non-coding RNA is filed under the name Pseudomonas sp. FeS53a. Lineage: Bacteria; Pseudomonadati; Pseudomonadota; Gammaproteobacteria; Pseudomonadales; Pseudomonadaceae. The record is from RNAcentral.
CUAAGUUCGCCCGGUCGCGGCAAACGCCGCGACCGGGUUUGACGACCUGAAGC